RNAcentral lists this long non-coding RNA (528 nucleotides) under Calidris pygmaea (Spoon-billed sandpiper). RNAcentral's name for it is "lncRNA (ENSCPGG00000005022.1)". Lineage: Eukaryota; Metazoa; Chordata; Aves; Charadriiformes; Scolopacidae. The record is from RNAcentral.
CUCAGAAAGUCAGCGACAUCUUGCUGCUGCUGGGCAAGAAGCUGGUGGUGUGGUCCUGGCUGACCAUGGUUCUUUUGGGAUUUGCACCAUUUUUACCCGUUUCACUGCUGUUUCCUUCCCCCAGGGCUUUGAAGGAAUCAUAGAACCAUAGGAGGAGAUAAAGGGGGCUUUACUUCACCUCCAAGCCAAAUACUUCUGAGAAAAAGAUCAUCCCUGCCAUCUUCCCAUGGCGCAGGAAAAGCAGAGAGAUACUGUUUCGGAGCCUGCAUCUUUUCUGAAGAAAAUUUGGAUUUAAGGCACACGUGCUUGAUUAAGAAGAACUUCCUGCAUUCUGGACUUUUGCUUCAGAGAGGUUGAGGAUUUGAAAGGUACAUUUUUGUACCCCAGGAUGAAAACAUGCCAGUAGAGCUAUGCGUAAUACCUGUUUAUAUUCUGCACAGGAAUUUAUUGUGUUUAUAAUAACCAGAUUGACAUCUAUGUUUUCAGUGACUACUUGGAUGAAAUAAAGAAUGAAGUGUUAGUGGCUCA